AGCAGUGUUGCUUAGUGGUUAGAGCACGGUCUUGGGAUCAGAGGACCUGGGUUCUAAACCCAGCUCUGCCA
RNAcentral lists this transfer RNA (71 nucleotides) under Ornithorhynchus anatinus (platypus). It matches the Rfam family "tRNA". From Rfam's summary of the family: Transfer RNA (tRNA) molecules are approximately 80 nucleotides in length. Their secondary structure includes four short double-helical elements and three loops (D, anti-codon, and T loops). The record is from Rfam by way of RNAcentral. Lineage: Eukaryota; Metazoa; Chordata; Mammalia; Monotremata; Ornithorhynchidae.